GCAAGUGAGGACACUGUAUCUGUGAUACUUGCCACAUUGAUUGCUCACCUUGAUUUGACUUGACUGAUGCCCUAGGCUAGGUGUGUGUCCACAUCCUACUCAGUGCUCCACGUGUCUCUUCUGCAGAACUGGGCAUGUGGUGGAGGGUAACAUUCUUGUAGAGAGAAGGACCAUUCUGCAGUCAAGGGUAUGCGAGUAGCCGAGCUCUCUGCUCGAAUCCUCAACAGGCCUUCAGGAGAAUACAUGCGAAGGAAGCCUGGGGAAUCUGUAGCUGGAUUUGAUAGCCUCUUC
Molecule: small nuclear RNA, 291 nt
Filed under: Meriones unguiculatus (Mongolian gerbil)
Lineage: Eukaryota; Metazoa; Chordata; Mammalia; Rodentia; Muridae
Description: 7SK RNA (ENSMUGG00000022074.1)
Rfam family: 7SK RNA
About the family: 7SK was discovered as an abundant small nuclear RNA in the mid-70s but a possible function has only recently been suggested. Two independent studies have found that 7SK RNA binds the CDK9/cyclin T complex (known as elongation factor P-TEFb).
Source: RNAcentral